Picea glauca (white spruce) is the source of this 109-nucleotide non-coding RNA. Lineage: Eukaryota; Viridiplantae; Streptophyta; Pinopsida; Pinales; Pinaceae. The record is from Rfam.
UAAAACAUAGCGUUAAUGCACCGGAUCCCAUUAGAACUAUGUAUUUAAGCGUGCUUAGACUAGAGUAGUACUAGGAUGGGUGACCGCUCAAGAAUUCCUAGUGUUUUAC